GUAGGGAAUAUUGGUCAAUGGACGAGAGUCUGAACCAGCCAAGUCGCGUGAAGGAAGACGGUUCUAUGAAUUGUAAACUUCUUUUGUGCAGGAAUAAAGUGGGUUACGUGUAACCUUUUGUAUGUACUGUACGAAUAAGGAUCGGCUAACUCCGUGCCAGCAGCCGCGGUAAUACGGAGGAUCCGAGCGUUAUCCGGAUUUAUUGGGUUUAAAGGGUGCGUAGGUGGAUUGAUAAGUCAGCGGUGAAAGUUUGCAGCUUAACUGUAAAAUUGCCGUUGAAACUGUCGGUCUUGAGUGCAAAUGAGGUAGGCGGAAUGUGUUGUGUAGCGGUGAAAUGCUUAGAUAUAACACAGAACUCCGAUUGCGAAGGCAGCUUACUGGGAUGCAACUGACACUGAUGCACGAAAGCGUGGGUAUCAAACAGGAUUAGAAACCCUUGUAGUCC
RNAcentral lists this ribosomal RNA (445 nucleotides) under uncultured bacterium. RNAcentral describes it as "partial 16S ribosomal RNA". It matches the Rfam family "Bacterial small subunit ribosomal RNA", at positions 354 to 796 of the family's 1533-position model. The record is from RNAcentral.